AGCGUACACGGUGGAUGCCCUGGCAGUCAGAGGCGAUGAAGGACGUGCUAAUCUGCGAAAAGCGUCGGUAAGGUGAUAUGAACCGUUAUAACCGGCGAUGUCCGAAUGGGGAAACCCAGUGUGAUUCGUCACACUAUCGUUAACUGAAUACAUAGGUUAACGAGGCGAACCGGGGGAACUGAAACAUCUAAGUACCCCGAGGAAAAGAAAUCAACCGAGAUUCCCCCAGUAGCGGCGAGCGAACGGGGAGCAGCCCAGAGUCUGAAUCAGCUUGUGUGUUAGUGGAACGGUCUGGAAAGUCCGACGGUACAGGGUGAUAGUCCCGUACACCAAAAUGCACAGGCUGUGAACUCGAAGAGUAGGGCGGGACACGUGGUAUCCUGUCUGAAUAUGGGGGGACCAUCCUCCAAGGCUAAAUACUCCUGACUGACCGAUAGUGAACCAGUACCGUGAGGGAAAGGCGAAAAGAACCCCGGCGAGGGGAGUGAAAAAGAACCUGAAACCGUGUACGUACAAGCAGUGGGAGCACCUUCGGGUGUGACUGCGUACCUUUUGUAUAAUGGGUCAGCGACUUAUAUUCUGUAGCAAGGUUAACCGUAUAGGGGAGCCGCAGGGAAACCGAGUCUUAACUGGGCGUUAAGUUGCAGGGUAUAGACCCGAAACCCGGUGAUCUAGCCAUGGGCAGGUUGAAGGUUGGGUAACACUAACUGGAGGACCGAACCGACUAAUGUUGAAAAAUUAGCGGAUGACUUGUGGCUGGGGGUGAAAGGCCAAUCAAACCGGGAGAUAGCUGGUUCUCCCCGAAAGCUAUUUAGGUAGCGCCUCGUGAACUCAUCUUCGGGGGUAGAGCACUGUUUCGGCUAGGGGGUCAUCCCGACUUACCAACCCGAUGCAAACUACGAAUACCGAAGAAUGUUAUCACGGGAGACACACGGCGGGUGCUAACGUCCGUCGUGAAGAGGGAAACAACCCAGACCGCCAGCUAAGGUCCCAAAGUCAUGGUUAAGUGGGAAACGAUGUGGGAAGGCACAGACAGCCAGGAUGUUGGCUUAGAAGCAGCCAUCAUUUAAAGAAAGCGUAAUAGCUCACUGGUCGAGUCGGCCUGCGCGGAAGAUGUAACGGGGCUAAACCAUGCACCGAAGCUGCGGCAGCGACACUAUGUGUUGUUGGGUAGGGGAGCGUUCUGUAAGCCUGCGAAGGUGUGCUGUGAGGCAUGCUGGAGGUAUCAGAAGUGCGAAUGCUGACAUAAGUAACGAUAAAGCGGGUGAAAAGCCCGCUCGCCGGAAGACCAAGGGUUCCUGUCCAACGUUAAUCGGGGCAGGGUGAGUCGACCCCUAAGGCGAGGCCGAAAGGCGUAGUCGAUGGGAAACAGGUUAAUAUUCCUGUACUUGGUGUUACUGCGAAGGGGGGACGGAGAAGGCUAUGUUAGCCGGGCGACGGUUGUCCCGGUUUAAGCAUGUAGGCUGGUUAUCCAGGCAAAUCCGGAUAAUCAAGGCUGAGGUGUGAUGACGAGGCACUACGGUGCUGAAGUAACAAAUGCCCUGCUUCCAGGAAAAGCCUCUAAGCAUCAGGUAACAUCAAAUCGUACCCCAAACCGACACAGGUGGUCAGGUAGAGAAUACCAAGGCGCUUGAGAGAACUCGGGUGAAGGAACUAGGCAAAAUGGUGCCGUAACUUCGGGAGAAGGCACGCUGGUGUGUAGGUGAAGUCCCUGCGGAUGGAGCUGAGACCAGUCGAAGAUACCAGCUGGCUGCAACUGUUUAUUAAAAACACAGCACUGUGCAAACACGAAAGUGGACGUAUACGGUGUGACGCCUGCCCGGUGCCGGAAGGUUAAUUGAUGGGGUUAUCCGUAAGGAGAAGCUCUUGAUCGAAGCCCCGGUAAACGGCGGCCGUAACUAUAACGGUCCUAAGGUAGCGAAAUUCCUUGUCGGGUAAGUUCCGACCUGCACGAAUGGCGUAAUGAUGGCCAGGCUGUCUCCACCCGAGACUCAGUGAAAUUGAACUCGCUGUGAAGAUGCAGUGUACCCGCGGCAAGACGGAAAGACCCCGUGAACCUUUACUAUAGCUUGACACUGAACAUUGAGCCUUGAUGUGUAGGAUAGGUGGGAGGCUUUGAAGCGUGGACGCCAGUCUGCGUGGAGCCAACCUUGAAAUACCACCCUUUAAUGUUUGAUGUUCUAACGUUGGCCCCUGACCGGGGUUGCGGACAGUGUCUGGUGGGUAGUUUGACUGGGGCGGUCUCCUCCCAAAGCGUAACGGAGGAGCACGAAGGUUAGCUAAUCCUGGUCGGACAUCAGGAGGUUAGUGCAAUGGCAUAAGCUAGCUUGACUGCGAGCGUGACGGCGCGAGCAGGUGCGAAAGCAGGUCAUAGUGAUCCGGUGGUUCUGAAUGGAAGGGCCAUCGCUCAACGGAUAAAAGGUACUCCGGGGAUAACAGGCUGAUACCGCCCAAGAGUUCAUAUCGACGGCGGUGUUUGGCACCUCGAUGUCGGCUCAUCACAUCCUGGGGCUGAAGUAGGUCCCAAGGGUAUGGCUGUUCGCCAUUUAAAGUGGUACGCGAGCUGGGUUUAGAACGUCGUGAGACAGUUCGGUCCCUAUCUGCCG
This 2606-nucleotide ribosomal RNA is filed under the name Klebsiella pneumoniae. RNAcentral's name for it is "bacterial LSU rRNA". It matches the Rfam family "Bacterial large subunit ribosomal RNA". The record is from RNAcentral. Lineage: Bacteria; Pseudomonadati; Pseudomonadota; Gammaproteobacteria; Enterobacterales; Enterobacteriaceae.